Molecule: ribosomal RNA, 447 nt
Filed under: uncultured bacterium
Lineage: Bacteria
Description: bacterial SSU rRNA
Rfam family: Bacterial small subunit ribosomal RNA
Source: RNAcentral
CCAGACUCCUACGGGAGGCAGCAGUGGGGAAUAUUGCACAAUGGGGGAAACCCUGAUGCAGCGACGCCGCGUGGAGGAAGAAGGUCUUCGGAUUGUAAACUCCUGUCCUUGGGGACGAUAAUGACGGUACCCAAGGAGGAAGCACCGGCUAACUACGUGCCAGCAGCCGCGGUAAAACGUAGGGUGCAAGCGUUGUCCGGAAUUACUGGGUGUAAAGGGAGCGCAGGCGGGAAGCCAAGUCAGCUGUGAAAACUACGGGCUUAACUUGUAGACUGCAGUUGAAACUGGUUUUCUUGAGUGAAGUAGAGGUUGGCGGAAUUCCGAGUGUAGCGGUGAAAUGCGUAGAUAUUAGGAGGAACACCAGUGGCGAAGGCGGCCUGCUGGGCUUUAACUGACGCUGAGGCUCGAAAGCGUGGGGAGCAAACAGGAUUAGAUACCCCGGUAAUA